CCUACGGGAGGCAGCAGUGAGGAAUAUUGGUCAAUGGUCGGGAGACUGAACCAGCCAAGCCGCGUGAGGGAUGAAGGUACAGAGUAUCGUAAACCUCUUUUGUCAGGGAACAAAGGCGGGGACGUGUCCCCGGAUGAGUGUACCUGAAGAAAAAGCAUCGGCUAACUCCGUGCCAGCAGCCGCGGUAAUACGGAGGAUGCGAGCGUUAUCCGGAUUUAUUGGGUUUAAAGGGUGCGCAGGCGGUCUGUUAAGUCAGCGGUGAAAGCCCGGGGCUCAACCCCCGCCCCGCCGUUGAAACUGGCAGUCUCGAGUUGGAGAGAAGUAUGCGGAAUGCGCGGUGUAGCGGUGAAAUGCAUAGAUAUCGCGCAGAACUCCGAUUGCGAAGGCAGCAUGCCGGCUCCACACUGACGCUGAGGCACGAAAGCGUGGGUAUCGAACAGGAUUAGAUACCCCGGUAGUC
RNAcentral lists this ribosomal RNA (460 nucleotides) under uncultured bacterium. RNAcentral's name for it is "partial 16S ribosomal RNA". It matches the Rfam family "Bacterial small subunit ribosomal RNA", at positions 338 to 795 of the family's 1533-position model. The record is from RNAcentral.